UCAAUGCAGCAAUCCCAAGGAUGCACUUUUUGGGUAAUUAUAUUAUAACAGUAACACACAAUAGCUGCAGUACGAGGUAAUAUCAUUUAAUUGUCAAUAAUAAUAAUAAUAAUAACCGAAAUUCAAACUAUAUAGUAUAUGCAUGUCAUAUCAAAUUUAAUUAAUUCUAAUUAUGCUAUUGUUGUUACACAACGCAUUACUUGAGGGUCCGUCGCAUAUCAACAAUGCAGAAGCGAGGAAAUAUCCUAUCCAUGUGAAAAGGACAAUACGUAUAGCCCCAAAGAGGACAUCAUUACAUACCAUUGCAUCGCAAACAUCCAAGUUAGUCAUUAAUGAUACACACACAGCAGCUUAAAAGUGUUGUUAAAAUCACUAGGUAUCAAGAUUGUCACAAAUUAGGAUACUAGGACACAAGCCUAGCUGCGGAGAAAGUAUUAUUUAUCCAAAUUUGAUAUAUUUAGUGAUGAGACGACAAUAGAUGAAGUGCCACCAAUUA
This is a long non-coding RNA of Nylanderia fulva, 496 nucleotides long. RefSeq lists it as uncharacterized. The record is from RefSeq and is a predicted model, not a curated record. NCBI's taxonomy places the organism in Eukaryota, Metazoa, Arthropoda, Insecta, Hymenoptera, Formicidae.